AGUGAACGCUGGCGGUAGGCCUAACACAUGCAAGUCGAACGGCAGCACAGUAAGAGCUUGCUCUUACGGGUGGCGAGUGGCGGACGGGUGAGGAAUACAUCGGAAUCUACUUUUUCGUGGGGGAUAACGUAGGGAAACUUACGCUAAUACCGCAUACGACCUACGGGUGAAAGCAGGGGAUCUUCGGACCUUGCGCGAUUGAAUGAGCCGAUGUCGGAUUAGCUAGUUGGCGGGGUAAAGGCCCACCAAGGCGACGAUCCGUAGCUGGUCUGCGAGGAUGAUCAGCCACACUGGAACUGAGACACGCGCCAGACUCCUACGGGAGUCAGCAGUGGGGAAUAUUGGACAAAGGGCGCAAGCCUGAUCCAGCCAUACCGCGUGGGUGAAGAAGGCCUUCGGGUUGUAAAGCCCUUUUGUUGGGAAAGAAAAGCAGCAGGUUAAUACCCCGCUGUUCUGACGGUACCCAAAGAAUAAGCACCGGCUAACUUCGUG
RNAcentral lists this ribosomal RNA (492 nucleotides) under uncultured bacterium. Its description in RNAcentral is "partial 16S ribosomal RNA". It matches the Rfam family "Bacterial small subunit ribosomal RNA", at positions 29 to 507 of the family's 1533-position model. The record is from RNAcentral.